This 21-nucleotide non-coding RNA is filed under the name Arabidopsis thaliana (thale cress). Lineage: Eukaryota; Viridiplantae; Streptophyta; Magnoliopsida; Brassicales; Brassicaceae. The record is from RNAcentral.
UGGUUGUAUUCGAGUAUCUGC